Molecule: ribosomal RNA, 588 nt
Filed under: Acinetobacter baumannii
Lineage: Bacteria; Pseudomonadati; Pseudomonadota; Gammaproteobacteria; Moraxellales; Moraxellaceae
Description: bacterial SSU rRNA
Rfam family: Bacterial small subunit ribosomal RNA
Source: RNAcentral
CUGACGCUGAGGUACGAAAGCAUGGGGAGCAAACAGGAUUAGAUACCCUGGUACUCCAUGCCGUAAACGAUGUCUACUAGCCGUUGGGGCCUUUGAGGCUUUAGUGGCGCAGCUAACGCGAUAAGUAGACCGCCUGGGGAGUACGGUCGCAAGACUAAAACUCAAAUGAAUUGACGGGGGCCCGCACAAGCGGUGGAGCAUGUGGUUUAAUUCGAUGCAACGCGAAGAACCUUACCUGGCCUUGACAUACUAGAAACUUUCCAGAGAUGGAUUGGUGCCUUCGGGAAUCUAGAUACAGGUGCUGCAUGGCUGUCGUCAGCUCGUGUCGUGAGAUGUUGGGUUAAGUCCCGCAACGAGCGCAACCCUUUUCCUUACUUGCCAGCAUUUCGGAUGGGAACUUUAAGGAUACUGCCAGUGACAAACUGGAGGAAGGCGGGGACGACGUCAAGUCAUCAUGGCCCUUACGGCCAGGGCUACACACGUGCUACAAUGGUCGGUACAAAGGGUUGCUACACAGCGAUGUGAUGCUAAUCUCAAAAAGCCGAUCGUAGUCCGGAUUGGAGUCUGCAACUCGACUCCAUGAAGUCG